CUUGCAUAUAUAAGAGGUCCAGCCUGCCCAGUGACUUAGUUCAACGGCCGCGGUAUCCUAACCGUGCGAAGGUAGCGUAAUCACUUGUUCUUUAAAUGAGGACUCGUAUGAAUGGCACCACGAGGGUUACACUGUCUCCUUUCUCUAAUCAAUGAAACUGAUCUCCCCGUGAAGAAGCGGGGAUACACAUAUUAGACGAGAAGACCCUAUGGAGCUUCAAACUAUACAGCACUGGCUUUUAUCUUUUUCCACUUCAGAGUUUUUAAUUUUAUUCUAGCCUUUUGACUAUUAGUUUUAGGUUGGGGUGACCACGGAGCAAAAAUUAACCUCCACGAUGAACAGACCAACUCUUGAGCUAAAAGCCACAACUUUAAGCACCAAUAAACUGACACAAAUUGACCCAAUAUUUUGACCAACGAAC
RNAcentral lists this ribosomal RNA (421 nucleotides) under Dendropsophus leucophyllatus group sp. ABGD cluster 36. RNAcentral describes it as "partial large subunit ribosomal RNA". It matches the Rfam family "Bacterial large subunit ribosomal RNA", at positions 1836 to 2457 of the family's 2925-position model. The record is from RNAcentral. Lineage: Eukaryota; Metazoa; Chordata; Amphibia; Anura; Hylidae.